AUGGGUCUGGUAGGAAAAUGGUGGAAAAUGCUGCAGUGUAACAGAGGCUGCAGCUUUUCAUUACGCUGCAUAUCACAACAUAAUCGCGCCGUUAUUUGCUGCAUGAUUAAGAACAGCUGCACGUUUCCGCUUAUUUGCCCCGAGCGUUGCCUAUUACUGCCGUGCCUUGGCUGCCGGUCACUGUCUCCAAUCUGCUCUCUUCUCUCACAGGGUGGGAUCGGAGCCGCCGUGGAAAAGGGGGAGAGGGGAGAUCCCGGUCAGCCGGGUGCUGCAGGUACCAGCGGAGUGAAAGGACAGAAAGUAAGUGACACCGGCGUGAGGUGCUCGACACACUCUGGUUGCAUUUGUGCUUCAUUGUCUGCUCACAGGAAGAAGAGGGAGGAAGUUUAAACGAUGCUGGUAUCCAUCAAAAUUCCUCCGAGUUCCUUUUCCCUCCUAAACCUCAUGCAGAACUUGUGUUUAGCGAUUCCACGACAUCUUGAAUCAAUGGACAUGAUUCAGUUCAAAAUUGCACCCGAUACGUGUCCAUUUUCGGUAUUCUGUGUUGAGGGAAGGAAAGAUAAACAUCAAAAACAGAUAUAUACAUCAAAGCUUUCAUGAAAGAAACCCUCCUUCCCACAGUCUGAGCAACGUCGUGCUCGCCUCUCUUUCUCUGCACGCUUCAGCGCCCAUCAGCCACAACCUUGGGCACGAUGGCUUCCUCUCACCCCUAAUUGCAUGUGUUGAUUGCAUUUAAAACAUUAAACGCCUUAAUUACAAAGAUAUGUCACAUGUUAUUGCGUUACAUCUGACAGCCCCAUUUUAUAUUUUACAUAAUUAUCCCCAUUUGUGUCAGCUCAAUUUUUUUCUUAAAAAAAAAAAGCAUAAUUAAGGUUGUUGUUGGUCCCUAAUUUGGUCCCAAAGUUUUUUGAACUUUAUAUCGUACUGCCGCUAGCGCAGCUACAAACAUCUUGGCCACAUUUUUUACGCUGGAGAUGAGUUUUGAGAACUUAAUUGAAGCCUUGAGCAUCUAUAUUCUGGGGUUUUAUGGUGUUGGAAUCUGUGAUUCACCAUCAUUUUGAUCUUGGAUGGAGAUGAGAUCGUUAUUUGUUGAUCGUGUUAAUAAUUUAGACGGUUGGCUGUGUAUUGUCAAGCCGACAUUCCCCAAAUGCCUUUCGGUGGUUCGCACAGUAGAGUCGCAGCUGCAGUGCUUUAUGUUCCUGUUUUAUUCCAAGGCGCCACAGUUACAGCUUUUAAAUUUUCAAUGGGAGAACAGAGGCUUCGGAAUGUAAUGUGCCACGAUUACGAGCCUUCCAUAAGCAGCAGUUGUGCUGUAACCACAGUUACGCUGCGUACAUGAUGCAUGUGAAACGUAAUUCCUGAAUAUUCUUCUUUCUGUUCUUUAUGCUGUCCCACUCCUCCUCCUUUCCUGUUUUAAAAUCCUAUGGCUCUGUUUGAGAUGUGAGGUUACUGUGGGAAACUUGUCCGAUUUAAUACUACACCUUUUUUCCCCUUCUUUUCUCAGCCUUUUUGACCAUGUUCUCAUAUCUGCUGUGAUUUGAUACUGUGUUCCUCUGGUGUUUCCAGGGGGAUGUCGGCCCUCCCGGCCCUCCAG
RNAcentral lists this long non-coding RNA (1594 nucleotides) under Takifugu rubripes (torafugu). RNAcentral describes it as "lncRNA (ENSTRUG00000030363.1)". Lineage: Eukaryota; Metazoa; Chordata; Actinopteri; Tetraodontiformes; Tetraodontidae. The record is from RNAcentral.